Molecule: non-coding RNA, 30 nt
Filed under: Rattus norvegicus (Norway rat)
Lineage: Eukaryota; Metazoa; Chordata; Mammalia; Rodentia; Muridae
Source: RNAcentral
GAAGCUUCUCUGUAAGUGACUAGAAUCUUC